This 365-nucleotide ribosomal RNA is filed under the name uncultured Piloderma. Its description in RNAcentral is "eukaryotic LSU rRNA". It matches the Rfam family "Eukaryotic large subunit ribosomal RNA", at positions 1 to 359 of the family's 3401-position model. Lineage: Eukaryota; Fungi; Basidiomycota; Agaricomycetes; Atheliales; Atheliaceae. The record is from RNAcentral.
UUGACCUCAAAUCAGGUAGGACUACCCGCUGAACUUAAGCAUAUCAAUAAGCGGAGGAAAAGAAACUAACAAGGAUUCCCCUAGUAACUGCGAGUGAAGCGGGAAGAGCUCAAAUUUAAAAUCUGGCGGUCUUGCGGCCGUCCGAGUUGUAAUCUGGAGAAGCGUUUAUCCGCGUCGGACCGUGUACAAGUCUUCUGGAAGGGAGCGUCGUAGAGGGUGAGAAUCCCGUCUUUGACACGGACAACCGGUGCUUUUGUGAUGCGCUCUCGAGAGUCGAGUGUUUGGGAAUGCAGCUCAAAUGGGUGGUAAAUUCCAUCUAAAGCUAAUAUUGGCGAGAGACCGAUAGCGAACAAGUACCGUGAGGG